AAUGGAGGAAAACACUUCCCUCCACUUGUCAAAAGCAGAAAGUGCUACUUCCGUUAAGAAACCGAAAAAAGAAGAGUGCAAGGACCUGGCUCUCUGCAGCAUGAUCCUGACUGAAAUGGAAACGCAUGAGGACGCCUGGCCCUUUCUGCUUCCGGUCAACCUGAAGCUCGUACCCGGCUACAGGAAGGUUAUUAAGAAGCCUAUGGAUUUUUCUACAAUUAGAGAAAAACUAAAUAAUGGACAGUAAGUAAUCCACUUCUGUUCAGUCAGUAUCGACGAUGGAGGUUAGCAGAUGACAUAACCUGAGGCAUGUAGAGACCGGAAGCUCUUCUCCAUUAACACUUGGAUGAAGGUAACAGGAUGCCUAAGGGAUAGGAUUGGCCAGAGGAGUUAGGGAAGUAGAGGGAUCUGUAGAGGCCUCCAGCAGAACGGUAAGAACUCAGGUAGUAAAUGAGAUGUGGGAAACACAGGGCAGUUGAAAAACAUUUUGUUGCUGUUGUCUUACUCUGUAGCCCAUGCUGGCCUCAGACUCGUUGACCUUUCCCCUUCUCCACCAACCAAAUGCUGGGAUCACAACUAUGUGGCUCCAUGCCUGUCCUGGAAAAUACCUAGUUUUAUGACCAAGAGAGCACUUGGUUUGUUAUGCUGACCAUCUUUAAUGCAGCGUGGCCCAGAGCGUAAUGAAUGUCGUCAGGUGUGGUUUGGUGGGCGGCGCUCUGUGGGAGGAGUCAAGCGCAGCAACCAGCUAGCGU
This 752-nucleotide long non-coding RNA is filed under the name Rattus norvegicus (Norway rat). RNAcentral describes it as "long non-coding RNA NONRATT019312". Lineage: Eukaryota; Metazoa; Chordata; Mammalia; Rodentia; Muridae. The record is from RNAcentral.